CCGGCGACCGGCGCACGGGUGAGUAACACGUAUGCAACCUGCCCUCUUCAGGGGGACAACCUUCCGAAAGGGAGGCUAAUCCCGCGUAUAUCGGUUUCGGGCAUCCGAGAUCGAGGAAAGAUUCAUCGGAAGAGGAUGGGCAUGCGGCGCAUUAGCUUGACGGCGGGGUAACGGCCCACCGUGGCGACGAUGCGUAGGGGUUCUGAGAGGAAGGCCCCCCACACUGGAACUGAGACACGGUCCAGACUCCUACGGAAGGCAGCAG
This 265-nucleotide ribosomal RNA is filed under the name uncultured bacterium. RNAcentral describes it as "partial 16S ribosomal RNA". It matches the Rfam family "Bacterial small subunit ribosomal RNA", at positions 88 to 354 of the family's 1533-position model. The record is from RNAcentral.